Passer montanus (Eurasian tree sparrow) is the source of this 744-nucleotide long non-coding RNA. RefSeq lists it as uncharacterized. Lineage: Eukaryota; Metazoa; Chordata; Aves; Passeriformes; Passeridae. The record is from RefSeq and is a predicted model, not a curated record. The transcript has 3 exons.
CAGGUCUGCAGGCAUCAGGUUGCAGGCCCUGUCAAUCACAUCACAUCACAUUUUUCCCUGUUUCCUGACACUUCAAACGGGGCCACUCUAUGUUUGACAUGAAACAUCAAACGUGGCAGGAGCCACGCAGCUAGCAAGGCAAGAGGCAGAAGGAGAAUGCUGUGAGCCCAUUAGGUUUGCAUUGCCUGUGAUGUGGCACCGCUAAAAAGGACGAGCAUUGACAGCACUGUACAAGACAUCUCUUACAUGUGCCUGGAGUCAUGUUGAUCAGGCACAGGAGUGAGCUGGUCGUGGGCACCUGCCAUUGCUAAGCACAGCUAAUACAAUCCUGGAGCAAGCUGCCUUCUGAAUGGCACUUGGGAGUGAGGGACACGAGGAGUAGUGCUAUAAGUAAGUACAGUUCAGCAGAGAAAAACCCACUUGACUGAACCCAGUGUUUACAGAAAUGUGGAUACACUGCUUGAACUCAGGCUCUGCAGAUGUCACUCUGUCUUUAUGCAGCAUGUACUGUUGAUUUUGUUUAACCCUGCAACAUCUUCCUGCUGUUCCUGUUAAAGUUACCAGCUCACAGCUCUGCAAAUGGCUGUGGCAUGAAGACAUCUGCAAAGGAACCAGAGCAAACCUCAUCUUCUAACAAACCAAAAUCAUGUAGCAGAAUGCAGGAGUUGACCACAGUGCUGAGCAAGUGGUGUAUGUCCAUAUGAUCUGCUCCAGCUGGAUGGGCAUAUCCUUUUUUCUCAAUAA